This 497-nucleotide ribosomal RNA is filed under the name uncultured bacterium. RNAcentral describes it as "partial 16S ribosomal RNA". It matches the Rfam family "Bacterial small subunit ribosomal RNA", at positions 34 to 507 of the family's 1533-position model. The record is from RNAcentral.
GCCGCCCGCUUUCUUCUUGCCUAAUACAUGCAAGUCGAGCGAACAGACGAGGAGCUUGCUCCUCUGACGUUAGCGGCGGACGGGUGAGUAACACGUGGAUAACCUACCUAUAAGACUGGGAUAACUUCGGGAAACCGGAGCUAAUACCGGAUAAUAUAUUGAACCGCAUGGUUCAAUAGUGAAAGACGGUUUUGCUGUCACUUAUAGAUGGAUCCGCGCCGCAUUAGCUAGUUGGUAAGGUAACGGCUUACCAAGGCGACGAUGCGUAGCCGACCUGAGAGGGUGAUCGGCCACACUGGAACUGAGACACGGUCCAGACUCCUACGGGAGGCAGCAGUAGGGAAUCUUCCGCAAUGGGCGAAAGCCUGACGGAGCAACGCCGCGUGAGUGAUGAAGGUCUUCGGAUCGUAAAACUCUGUUAUUAGGGAAGAACAAAUGUGUAAGUAACUAUGCACGUCUUGACGGUACCUAAUCAGAAAGCCACGGCUAACUACGUG